This 419-nucleotide ribosomal RNA is filed under the name uncultured microorganism. RNAcentral describes it as "bacterial SSU rRNA". It matches the Rfam family "Bacterial small subunit ribosomal RNA", at positions 9 to 418 of the family's 1533-position model. The record is from RNAcentral.
GAGUUUGAUCGUGGCUCAGGACGAACGCUGGCGGCGUGCCUAAUACAUGCAAGUCGAGCGGAUCUUCAUUAGCUUGCUUUUGAAGAUCAGCGGCGGACGGGUGAGUAACACGUGGGCAACCUGCCUGUAAGACUGGGAUAACUUCGGGAAACCGGAGCUAAUACCGGAUGAUCCUUUUCCUCUCAUGAGGAAAAGCUGAAAGACGGUUUCGGCUGUCACUUACAGAUGGGCCCGCGGCGCAUUAGCUAGUUGGUGAGGUAACGGCUCACCAAGGCGACGAUGCGUAGCCGACCUGAGAGGGUGAUCGGUCACACUGGGACUGAGACACGGCCCAGACUCCUACGGGAGGCAGCAGUAGGGAAUCUUCCGCAAUGGACGAAAGUCUGACGGAGCAACGCCGCGUGAGCGAUGAAGGCCUU